This 1960-nucleotide ribosomal RNA is filed under the name Campylobacter jejuni. Its description in RNAcentral is "partial 23S ribosomal RNA". It matches the Rfam family "Bacterial large subunit ribosomal RNA", at positions 978 to 2925 of the family's 2925-position model. Lineage: Bacteria; Pseudomonadati; Campylobacterota; Epsilonproteobacteria; Campylobacterales; Campylobacteraceae. The record is from RNAcentral.
CAGCAGUCAGGCGGCGAGUGAUAAAAUCCGUCGUCAAGAGGGAAACAACCCAGACUACCAGCUAAGGUCCCUAAAUCUUACUUAAGUGGAAAACGAUGUGAAGUUACUUAAACAACCAGGAGGUUGGCUUAGAAGCAGCCAUCCUUUAAAGAAAGCGUAAUAGCUCACUGGUCUAGUGAUUUUGCGCGGAAAAUAUAACGGGGCUAAAGUAAGUACCGAAGCUGUAGACUUAGUUUACUAAGUGGUAGGAGAGCGUUCUAUUUGCGUCGAAGGUAUACCGGUAAGGAGUGCUGGAGCGAAUAGAAGUGAGCAUGCAGGCAUGAGUAGCGAUAAUUAAUGUGAGAAUCAUUAACGCCGUAAACCCAAGGUUUCCUACGCGAUGCUCGUCAUCGUAGGGUUAGUCGGGUCCUAAGUCGAGUCCGAAAGGGGUAGACGAUGGCAAAUUGGUUAAUAUUCCAAUACCAACAUUAGUGUGCGAUGGAAGGACGCUUAGGGCUAAGGGGGCUAGCGGAUGGAAGUGCUAGUCUAAGGUCGUAGGAGGUUGUACAGGCAAAUCCGUAUAACAAUACUCCGAGAACUGAAAGGCUUUUUGAAGUCUUCGGAUGGAUAGAAGAACCCCUGAUGCUGUCGAGCCAAGAAAAGUUUCUAAGUUUAGCUAAUGUUGCCCGUACCGUAAACCGACACAGGUGGGUGGGAUGAGUAUUCUAAGGCGCGUGGAAGAACUCUCUUUAAGGAACUCUGCAAAAUAGCACCGUAUCUUCGGUAUAAGGUGUGGUUAGCUUUGUAUUAGGAUUUACUCCGAAAGCAAGGAAACUUACAACAAAGAGUCCCUCCCGACUGUUUACCAAAAACACAGCACUCUGCUAACUCGUAAGAGGAUGUAUAGGGUGUGACGCCUGCCCGGUGCUCGAAGGUUAAUUGAUGGGGUUAGCAUUAGCGAAGCUCUUGAUCGAAGCCCGAGUAAACGGCGGCCGUAACUAUAACGGUCCUAAGGUAGCGAAAUUCCUUGUCGGUUAAAUACCGACCUGCAUGAAUGGCGUAACGAGAUGGGAGCUGUCUCAAAGAGGGAUCCAGUGAAAUUGUAGUGGAGGUGAAAAUUCCUCCUACCCGCGGCAAGACGGAAAGACCCCGUGGACCUUUACUACAGCUUGACACUGCUACUUGGAUAAGAAUGUGCAGGAUAGGUGGGAGGCUUUGAGUAUAUGACGCCAGUUGUAUAUGAGCCAUUGUUGAGAUACCACUCUUUCUUAUUUGGGUAGCUAACCAGCUUGAGUUAUCCUCAAGUGGGACAAUGUCUGGUGGGUAGUUUGACUGGGGCGGUCGCCUCCCAAAUAAUAACGGAGGCUUACAAAGGUUGGCUCAGAACGGUUGGAAAUCGUUCGUAGAGUAUAAAGGUAUAAGCCAGCUUAACUGCAAGACAUACAAGUCAAGCAGAGACGAAAGUCGGUCUUAGUGAUCCGGUGGUUCUGUGUGGAAGGGCCAUCGCUCAAAGGAUAAAAGGUACCCCGGGGAUAACAGGCUGAUCUCCCCCAAGAGCUCACAUCGACGGGGAGGUUUGGCACCUCGAUGUCGGCUCAUCGCAUCCUGGGGCUGGAGCAGGUCCCAAGGGUAUGGCUGUUCGCCAUUUAAAGCGGUACGCGAGCUGGGUUCAGAACGUCGUGAGACAGUUCGGUCCCUAUCUGCCGUGGGCGUAAGAAGAUUGAAGAGAUUUGACCCUAGUACGAGAGGACCGGGUUGAACAAACCACUGGUGUAGCUGUUGUUCUGCCAAGAGCAUCGCAGCGUAGCUAAGUUUGGAAAGGAUAAACGCUGAAAGCAUCUAAGCGUGAAGCCAACUCUAAGAUGAAUCUUCUCUAAGCUCUCUAGAAGACUACUAGUUUGAUAGGCUGGGUGUGUAAUGGAUGAAAGUCCUUUAGCUGACCAGUACUAAUAGAGCGUUUGGCUUAUCUUUAAUAAAGCAU